GAUGAACGCUGGCGGCGUGCCUAAUACAUGCCAGUCGAGCGAACAGACGAGGAGCUUGUUCCUCUGACGUUAGCGGCGGACGGGUGAGUAACACGUGGAUAACCUACCUAUAAGACUGGGAUAACUUCGGGAAACCGGUGCUAAUACCGCAUAAUAUCUUUAACCGCAUGGUUCAAUAGUGAAAGACGCUUUUGCUGUCCUUAAUAGUUGUAUCGCGGUGGAAUUAGUUGUUUGGUAAGGUAACGGCCUACCAAGGCAUCGUACCUUAGCCGACCGGAGAGGGUGAUCGGCCACACUGGAACUGGAACACGGUCAAGACUCCUACGGGAGGAAGCAGUGGGGAAUCUUGGGAAAUGGGCGAAAGCCUGACGAAGAAAGGCCGCGUGGGGGAGGAAGGUCUUCGGAUCGUAAAACCCGUUUGUUGGGAAAGAACAAAUGGGGAAGUAAAAACGCACGUAUUGACGGUACCUAAUCAGAAAGCAACGGCUAACUACGUG
RNAcentral lists this ribosomal RNA (497 nucleotides) under uncultured bacterium. RNAcentral describes it as "partial 16S ribosomal RNA". It matches the Rfam family "Bacterial small subunit ribosomal RNA", at positions 28 to 507 of the family's 1533-position model. The record is from RNAcentral.